This 193-nucleotide microRNA precursor is filed under the name Oryza brachyantha (malo sina). RNAcentral describes it as "MIR812 microRNA precursor family". It matches the Rfam family "MIR812 microRNA precursor family". Lineage: Eukaryota; Viridiplantae; Streptophyta; Magnoliopsida; Poales; Poaceae. The record is from Rfam by way of RNAcentral.
AAUAAGAUUAUUUUUCAGUUUUUUUAUAAAUGUUUUGACUAUUCGUCUUAUUUGAAUUUUUUUACGAUUAAUAUUUUUACUGGAUGAUAAAGUAUGAAUAGUGUGUGACUAAUUUUUUUAAAUUUUUGUACAAAUUUUUCAAAUAAAACGAAUGGUGAAAAGUUGGACACGGAAAAAGAAAAAUAAAGUUAUU